Molecule: long non-coding RNA, 1198 nt
Filed under: Canis lupus familiaris (dog)
Lineage: Eukaryota; Metazoa; Chordata; Mammalia; Carnivora; Canidae
Description: lncRNA (ENSCAFG00000057785.1)
Source: RNAcentral
AUGAUGACUUUGAAUGGGAAACCGGUGGCCGUCUAUUUAAAAUGGGGGAGGGCGUUCCGUAAGAUCAAAUGCGCUUUAUUGGAUGAUUUUUUUUUUAACAGUGCAGUGGUGUUCUCUUUAAUAAGGAGAUUGACAAAUCUUACAGAGGGAGAGAGAGAUUUGACACAGCAGCUUAAGGAGAUGUCGUUAGCAAAACACAAGCCGAGCAGAAUAAGUGGCUUCUUCCAGAAAGCAAUGAUUCCCCCAUCUGAUCUCUUUUCACAGCUCAUUAAUUCUCCGGGCAUCAGAGAAAGGUGUUUCCCAAUUAUCCUGCCACAGGAGACCAUUGCUGGUGGAGAGAAGCCCACGUUCCGCAGCACGGCACAGAAACUGGUGAUCCGAAGAGGCCCGGGUCAGCUAAUCAGGAGCCUGUGUGCGUCAACACAUGCCACACCCGCCUCGCUGCAAGGCCGUCUACACCGCCUGCCCUCUCUUCUACACGUCUAGACUGGAACAGGAAAGCCCUCCGGAGGCACCCUCUUCACGGCUCUGCUCUGCUCUUGUCUUAAGGUGCCCGGGCUCCCCGAGUCUUGCACUGAUCACCCUCACCCUGCGCCCCGGGGCCUCACCUGGGCUAUCCGGGCCCAGCCUGCGGGGAGGAGUCCUGGAGGCUUCACAGCUGGGUUUGGGGGCCCGGCCAGCCUGGGGGGGACCCCCCUGCUGGGCCUCACAUGCACCUCCUGCAGACGGGGGCGCUGAGCCUGACCUCAGGUUCCCUCGGCAAUGAUGGGUGAUCAUGCUUAUUUUGAAAAUUGAGCCGUUUGCUCUGUGUUUCUCCCCGCCCCGGGACAGGCUCAUCCUGCACCCCCCCCCCCCCCCCGCCCCAGCUUCCUCCCUGGAUCUCACCCCAGGCCGAGGCCGCCAGAGAGCCCUGGGGAAGGAGACGGGUCUUUUCAGAGUCUGGGGCCACCAGGACUGGACGGGAAGCGGUGCUGGGUCCCCCCUUGGCUGAGAGGGGGUGAGGGCCCCUGUGCUUGGGCGCGUUGCAGCCGGCUGCUUUCUGCGGGGCACCCCAGGGAGGCCUGGUGGGCUGCCCUUGACACGCAGGACACAGCAGAGGAGACAACAUGCUCCGCAGAUGACAACCGACCAUUGACUAAGGGCCUUGUCGUCCCGAGCCGAGGGGAACCGCCCGCAGAAUCUGCACCACAGCCCGCCA